Molecule: ribosomal RNA, 377 nt
Filed under: uncultured bacterium
Lineage: Bacteria
Description: bacterial SSU rRNA
Rfam family: Bacterial small subunit ribosomal RNA
Source: RNAcentral
UAAUACAGAGGGGGCAAGCGUUAUUCGGAAUUAUUGGGCGUAAAGGGCGCGUAGGCGGCUUUGCAAGUGGCGGGUGAAAUCCCUCGGCUUAACCGAGGAACUGCCUGCCAGACUGUGAGGCUUGAGACCGGGAGAGGUGAGUGGAAUUCCCAGUGUAGCGGUGAAAUGCGUAGAUAUUGGGAGGAACACCAGUGGCGAAGGCGGCUCACUGGACCGGAACUGACGCUGAGGCGCGAAAGCGUGGGGAGCAAACAGGAUUAGAUACCCUGGUAGUCCACGCCGUAAACGAUGAGUGCUUGGUGUAGCGGGUAUCGACCCCUGCUGUGCCGAAGUCAACACAUUAAGCACUCCGCCUGGGGAGUACGGUCGCAAGACUG